UUUAAAUCCACUGAGACAAAGACUUGGUCUGAGAGCAGGAAACACUGUAAGACCAGAGGAGCUGAUCUGGUGAUGAUAGACAGCAAAGAGGAACAGGAAUUUAUCAAUGAAUUUGGAGGAUACUCUUGGAUUGGUCUGAGCACCAAACAGACACCAGGAGGAUCUAAAUGGGAAUGGGUGGACGGAUCAGCGCUGAGAGAAACGUUCUGGGUACCAGGAUGGUCACAUGCUUCUUCUGGUUACUAUGGAGUCUGCUGUGAUGAUUCUGGGAGAUGGA
Long non-coding RNA from Pelmatolapia mariae (spotted tilapia), 277 nucleotides. RefSeq lists it as uncharacterized. The record is from RefSeq and is a predicted model, not a curated record. NCBI's taxonomy places the organism in Eukaryota, Metazoa, Chordata, Actinopteri, Cichliformes, Cichlidae. The transcript is spliced from 3 exons.